UAGCAUAUCAAUAAGCGGAGGAAAAGAAACCAACAGGGAUUACCUCAGUAACGGCGAGUGAAGCGGUAAGAGCUCAAAUUUGAAAGCUGGCUCCUUCGGGGUCCGCAUUGUAAUUUGCAGAGGAUGUUUCGGAAGCAGCCCCCAUCUAAGUACCCUGGAACGGGUCGUCAUAGAGGGUGAGAAUCCCGUAUGGGAUGGGGUGUCUGCGUCCAUGUGAAACUCCUUCGACGAGUCGAGUUGUUUGGGAAUGCAGCUCUAAAUGGGUGGUAAAUUUCAUCUAAAGCUAAAUAUUGGCCGGAGACCGAUAGCGCACAAGUAGAGUGAUCGAAAGAUGAAAAGCACUUUGAAAAGAGAGUUAAAAAGCACGUGAAAUUGUUGAAAGGGAAGCGCUUGCGACCAGACUCGCCUCGGGGGUUCAACCGGCAUUCGUGCCGGUGUACUUCCCCCGGGGCGGGCCAGCGUCGGUUUGGGCGGUCGGUCAAAGGCCCUCGGAAUGUAACGCCUCUCGGGGCGUCUUAUAGCCGAGGGUGCCAUGCGACCUGCCCGGACCGAGGAACGCGCUUCGGCUCGGACGCUGGCAUAAUGGUCGUAAGCGACCCGUCUUGAAACACGGACCAAGGAGUCUAACAUCUACGCGAGUGUUCGGGUGUCAAACCCGUGCGCGCAGUGAAAGCGAACGGAGGUGGGAACCCUUACGGGUGCACCAUCGACCGAUCCUGAUGUCUUCGGAUGGGAUUUGAGUAAGAGCGUAGCUGUUGGGACCCGAAAGAUGGUGAACUAUGCCUGAAUAGGGCGAAGCCAGAGGAAACUCUGGUGGAGGCUCGCAGCGGUUCUGACGUGCAAAUCGAUUCGUCGAAAUUGGGUAUAGGGGCGAAAGACUAAUCGAACCAUCUAGUAGCUGGU
Molecule: ribosomal RNA, 903 nt
Filed under: Penicillium odoratum
Lineage: Eukaryota; Fungi; Ascomycota; Eurotiomycetes; Eurotiales; Aspergillaceae
Description: LSU rRNA
Rfam family: Eukaryotic large subunit ribosomal RNA
Source: RNAcentral